Molecule: ribosomal RNA, 1550 nt
Filed under: Salmonella enterica subsp. enterica serovar Enteritidis
Lineage: Bacteria; Pseudomonadati; Pseudomonadota; Gammaproteobacteria; Enterobacterales; Enterobacteriaceae
Description: bacterial SSU rRNA
Rfam family: Bacterial small subunit ribosomal RNA
Source: RNAcentral
AAAUUGAAGAGUUUGAUCAUGGCUCAGAUUGAACGCUGGCGGCAGGCCUAACACAUGCAAGUCGAACGGUAGCACAGAGAGCUUGCUCUCGGGUGACGAGUGGCGGACGGGUGAGUAAUGUCUGGGAAACUGCCUGAUGGAGGGGGAUAACUACUGGAAACGGUGGCUAAUACCGCAUAACGUCGCAAGACCAAAGAGGGGGACCUUCGGGCCUCUUGCCAUCAGAUGUGCCCAGAUGGGAUUAGCUUGUUGGUGAGGUAACGGCUCACCAAGGCGACGAUCCCUAGCUGGUCUGAGAGGAUGACCAGCCACACUGGAACUGAGACACGGUCCAGACUCCUACGGGAGGCAGCAGUGGGGAAUAUUGCACAAUGGGCGCAAGCCUGAUGCAGCCAUGCCGCGUGUAUGAAGAAGGCCUUCGGGUUGUAAAGUACUUUCAGCGGGGAGGAAGGUGUUGUGGUUAAUAACCGCAGCAAUUGACGUUACCCGCAGAAGAAGCACCGGCUAACUCCGUGCCAGCAGCCGCGGUAAUACGGAGGGUGCAAGCGUUAAUCGGAAUUACUGGGCGUAAAGCGCACGCAGGCGGUCUGUCAAGUCGGAUGUGAAAUCCCCGGGCUCAACCUGGGAACUGCAUUCGAAACUGGCAGGCUUGAGUCUUGUAGAGGGGGGUAGAAUUCCAGGUGUAGCGGUGAAAUGCGUAGAGAUCUGGAGGAAUACCGGUGGCGAAGGCGGCCCCCUGGACAAAGACUGACGCUCAGGUGCGAAAGCGUGGGGAGCAAACAGGAUUAGAUACCCUGGUAGUCCACGCCGUAAACGAUGUCUACUUGGAGGUUGUGCCCUUGAGGCGUGGCUUCCGGAGCUAACGCGUUAAGUAGACCGCCUGGGGAGUACGGCCGCAAGGUUAAAACUCAAAUGAAUUGACGGGGGCCCGCACAAGCGGUGGAGCAUGUGGUUUAAUUCGAUGCAACGCGAAGAACCUUACCUGGUCUUGACAUCCACAGAAGAAUCCAGAGAUGGAUUUGUGCCUUCGGGAACUGUGAGACAGGUGCUGCAUGGCUGUCGUCAGCUCGUGUUGUGAAAUGUUGGGUUAAGUCCCGCAACGAGCGCAACCCUUAUCCUUUGUUGCCAGCGGUUAGGCCGGGAACUCAAAGGAGACUGCCAGUGAUAAACUGGAGGAAGGUGGGGAUGACGUCAAGUCAUCAUGGCCCUUACGACCAGGGCUACACACGUGCUACAAUGGCGCAUACAAAGAGAAGCGACCUCGCGAGAGCAAGCGGACCUCAUAAAGUGCGUCGUAGUCCGGAUUGGAGUCUGCAACUCGACUCCAUGAAGUCGGAAUCGCUAGUAAUCGUGGAUCAGAAUGCCACGGUGAAUACGUUCCCGGGCCUUGUACACACCGCCCGUCACACCAUGGGAGUGGGUUGCAAAAGAAGUAGGUAGCUUAACCUUCGGGAGGGCGCUUACCACUUUGUGAUUCAUGACUGGGGUGAAGUCGUAACAAGGUAACCGUAGGGGAACCUGCGGUUGGAUCACCUCCUUACCUUAAAGAA